Molecule: ribosomal RNA, 702 nt
Filed under: uncultured bacterium
Lineage: Bacteria
Description: bacterial SSU rRNA
Rfam family: Bacterial small subunit ribosomal RNA
Source: RNAcentral
AGAGUUUGAUCCUGGCUCAGAUUGAACGCUGGCGGCAUGCCUUACACAUGCAAGUCGAACGGUAACAGGUCUUCGGAUGCUGACGAGUGGCGAACGGGUGAGUAAUACAUCGGAACGUGCCCGAUCGUGGGGGAUAACGAAGCGAAAGCUUUGCUAAUACCGCAUAAGAUCUACGGAUGAAAGCAGGGGACCGCAAGGCCUUGCGCGAACGGAGCGGCCGAUGGCAGAUUAGGUAGUUGGUGGGAUAAAAGCUUACCAAGCCGACGAUCUGUAGCUGGUCUGAGAGGACGACCAGCCACACUGGGACUGAGACACGGCCCAGACUCCUACGGGAGGCAGCAGUGGGGAAUUUUGGACAAUGGGCGAAAGCCUGAUCCAGCCAUGCCGCGUGCAGGAUGAAGGCCUUCGGGUUGUAAACUGCUUUUGUACGGAACGAAAAGACUCUGGUUAAUACCUGGGGUCCAUGACGGUACCGUAAGAAUAAGCACCGGCUAACUACGUGCCAGCAGCCGCGGUAAUACGUAGGGUGCAAGCGUUAAUCGGAAUUACUGGGCGUAAAGCGUGCGCAGGCGGUUAUAUAAGACAGACGUGAAAUCCCCGGGCUCAACCUGGGAACUGCAUUUGUGACUGUAUAGCUAGAGUACGGCAGAGGGGGAUGGAAUUCCGCGUGUAGCAGUGAAAUGCGUAGAUAUGCGGAGGAAC